GGGCAGGUGGUGAAACUGGUAUACACACGUGGCUUAGGACCAUGUGCCGCAAGGCGUGAGGGUUCGAGUCCCUCCCUGCCCACCA
RNAcentral lists this transfer RNA (85 nucleotides) under Candidatus Magasanikiibacteriota bacterium. RNAcentral's name for it is "Candidatus Magasanikbacteria bacterium tRNA-Leu". It matches the Rfam family "tRNA". Rfam says of the family: Transfer RNA (tRNA) molecules are approximately 80 nucleotides in length. Their secondary structure includes four short double-helical elements and three loops (D, anti-codon, and T loops). The record is from RNAcentral. Lineage: Bacteria; Candidatus Magasanikiibacteriota.